GUUUUUAAUAAAAAAACCCUUGUUAUUGAAGAGUCUAUACAUGUUGUUUUUGAUGAUUCUAGUGAUAUCUCUUCUAGCAAGAGAAUUGAUCUUGAUGAUGAUGCUGAAAUUUUUGAAGAAAAGAUUGAUGAGAUGACAUUACAAGAAGAUGAACAAAAAUUAAUUGGAAAUGCAUCAUCAAGCCAAGAGGCAAUUGUGGAUCAUGGGCUGACUAAGGCUUGGAGGUAUGCUCAUGGGCAUCCUAAGGAAUUAAUUUUAGAUGACCCA
This 267-nucleotide long non-coding RNA is filed under the name Phoenix dactylifera (date palm). RNAcentral describes it as "long non-coding RNA (PDAC_LNC008933)". The record is from RNAcentral. Lineage: Eukaryota; Viridiplantae; Streptophyta; Magnoliopsida; Arecales; Arecaceae.